Molecule: long non-coding RNA, 1020 nt
Filed under: Gouania willdenowi (blunt-snouted clingfish)
Lineage: Eukaryota; Metazoa; Chordata; Actinopteri; Blenniiformes; Gobiesocidae
Description: lncRNA (ENSGWIG00000023350.1)
Source: RNAcentral
AUGUCACAAAAGACUGAGCCCAAAGAGGAGCCGACAGACUCUGAAAUCACAUUUGUGCCGACGGAAAAUGAGCCCGUCUCCAUUUCUGAAGGAUUUGUAAUCCCAGCGUUGGAAACCACCUUUGGAUCGACAUUCGAUGCCGUUACUACAGAUGACGAAAUCACCAGAAAGGUGACUCCAGAUGAUGAGGAGGAUGAAGGUGAGAAGGAAGAUGAUUAUCCUCGUGAUCGCAAUGAUGGUAAAACGAAAAUACCACUGCUGUCGUUCUCUGAUGGGGGAGAAGUCGAAUCUCCAAAAACACCAGAGAUGCCAUCUGAAGUCAAGGACAAUAUUAAAACUGUUGGUGAAAACAUGUGGUCGUCACUUGGAGAUGCCGUGUUGUCAGUGGUCACAGGGGGCGAGAGGACGCCAGCUCAAGAUUUGAGUUCAGAGGAAGAGGAAGAUGAUGAGGAUGAGGAAAGGAUAACUCCUCCACAAACAGCUCCCGAUUUGGAGGAAGCAGAGAAUGAGCCUGAGUUGGAUGAAGUCUUCCAACACCCAAAGAACCCAACACCAACACACGAGGAUCUUACGAUUGAUAGCACAGACGAUACAGAAACUGUCCCUGACUCUGAGAAACUGGUCGAUAAAUAUGAGGAUGGGGACAACAGAGAGGACGAUGGUGAAAAACAAGCAGAUGAGCUAGAUGUAAAAGCAGAUUCUGGUAGGGAAGAUUUUUUGGGUGGACCUGAGACUGAAGCACCAGAUUUUGAAACAUCAAGCAAACCCACUGAGCAUGAAAUAGAAGAGGACAAGGCAGUUGGAGAUAAUGAUGCACACACAGAGAAUAGCAGUGUUGAAAUAAAGACUGGUUCAGACCCAGAAGAGACAGAAGAAGAGUUAAGCGUUACUAAUACUGAAAAUAAUCUAGAUAUGUCCACAGAAAAGAGGGAGCCAAAUGAUUCCAAUCUCAAACAUGUUGAGAAUGAAGUCAAUCAAAGCUUGUCUCAUCAGUUCCAUCCAAUGAAACAAGAGAUUUAG